This 400-nucleotide unclassified non-coding RNA is filed under the name Hevea brasiliensis (rubber tree). The record is from RNAcentral. Lineage: Eukaryota; Viridiplantae; Streptophyta; Magnoliopsida; Malpighiales; Euphorbiaceae.
GUGGGAUCAGAAAUAAUUGCGCUUAAUAUUAGUCUGAGUUAUUGGUAACAUUAAUCCAAAUAAUUGCACUUAAUAUUAAAAAAGAAAAAAUUUAAUAUAGACUAUGGGUAACAGUAAUCCAGUUAGGGGGCUGGGUCCCCUAAAAUUCGCCACUGUAUACAAGAAAACUUGUUCAGUUGAAUACAACUCCCUACAUAUCAUAACAUGGCAGCAAUCCUCAAGAAAGCACAUGUCAACAUGGUUAGGUAAAAAUUAGCAACUGUGCUUCAAUAUCAGCUAGUAAGUAAAGGAUCGAAGUCUUGCCUCUUGACGUUGAAAAUUGAGGCAAAAUGUCCACAAUUCUGAUUUCUGAAUUCUUAAAUAUAAGUUAAGGAGUGACAAUAAAUUCACUUAGUUCCUC